CCUACGGGAGGCAGCAGUGGGGAAUAUUGCGCAAUGGAGGAAACUCUGACGCAGCGACGCCGCGUGAGUGAAGAAGUCUCUAGGGAUGUAAAACUCUGUCGGGAGGAACGAUAAUGACGGUACCUCCAGAGGAAGCCCCGGCUAACUACGUGCCAGCAGCCGCGGUAAUACGUAGGGGGCAAGCGUUAUCCGGAUUUAUUGGGCAUAAAGGGCGCGUAGGUGGUUUAUUAAGUCAGGAUGUUAAAGUCAGGAGCUCAACUCCUGUUCGCAUUUGAAACUGAUGAACUAGAGAUCAGGAGAGGAAAGCGGAACUCACAGUGUAGCGGUGAAAUGCGUAGAUAUUGUGAGGAACACCAGUUGCGAAGGCGGCUUUCUGGACUGAUUCUGACACUGAGGCGCGAAAGCGUGGGGAGCAAACAGGAUUAGAUACCCUGGUAGUCCACGCUGUAAACGGUGUUCACUAGGUGUAGAGGGUAUCGACCCCUUCUGUGCCACAGAUAAUUACGUUAGUAGACCGCCGUGGAGUACGACGCGAAGUAAACGUACAAGAAGUAGACGCGNGAGAGNGCGACGGACGACGACGAGGAGAGG
This 591-nucleotide ribosomal RNA is filed under the name uncultured bacterium. RNAcentral describes it as "bacterial SSU rRNA". The stretch from base 1 to 519 matches the Rfam family "Bacterial small subunit ribosomal RNA", at positions 338 to 873 of the family's 1533-position model. The record is from RNAcentral.